CCCUUAGAUGUUCUGGGCCGCACGCGUGCUACACUGAACGGUUCAAUGGGUAAGGUAGUGCGAAAGCAUGACCUAAUCUCGAAAUCCGUUCGGGCUGGGGAUAGAAGCUUGCAAUUAUCCUUCUUGAACGAGGAAUACCUUGUAAGCGUGAGUCAUCAUCUCACGCUGAAUACGUCCCUGCCCUUUGUACACACCGCCCGUCGCUCCUACCGAUUGAGUGUUCCGGUGAGGCUUUGGGAGAAUGGCCUCAACAUGAGUUUAUCGUGUUUUGCCGUUUGAACUUAGUCAAACCUUAUCACUUAGAGGAAGGAGAAGUCGUAACA
RNAcentral lists this ribosomal RNA (323 nucleotides) under uncultured eukaryote. RNAcentral describes it as "partial 18S ribosomal RNA". It matches the Rfam family "Eukaryotic small subunit ribosomal RNA", at positions 1470 to 1796 of the family's 1831-position model. The record is from RNAcentral.